RNAcentral lists this ribosomal RNA (90 nucleotides) under uncultured Ceratobasidium. RNAcentral's name for it is "partial 28S ribosomal RNA". It matches the Rfam family "Eukaryotic large subunit ribosomal RNA", at positions 1 to 87 of the family's 3401-position model. The record is from RNAcentral. Lineage: Eukaryota; Fungi; Basidiomycota; Agaricomycetes; Cantharellales; Ceratobasidiaceae.
UGAUCUCAAAUACAGGUAUGAGCUACCCGUCUGAACUUAAGCAUAUCAAUAAGCGGAGGAAAAGAAACUAACAAGGAUUCCCCUCGUAAC